Molecule: ribosomal RNA, 883 nt
Filed under: Rickettsiaceae bacterium
Lineage: Bacteria; Pseudomonadati; Pseudomonadota; Alphaproteobacteria; Rickettsiales; Rickettsiaceae
Description: partial 23S ribosomal RNA
Rfam family: Bacterial large subunit ribosomal RNA
Source: RNAcentral
AAAGUGUAAAGGCAUAAACAUGCUUGACUGUUAGACUUAUAAGUCGCGCAGGUACGCAAGUAGGACUUAGUGAUCCGGUGGUUCUAAAUGGAUAGGCCAUCGCUCAAGAAAUAAAAGUUACGUUAGGGAUAAAGUUGUCCCUGCGCAUUUAAAUAAGUAGUUGACUAUUUACUUUCAACCUAUUAAAUGCAAAAAAACCGAGAAAAUGCAAAGAUAAUUUGCAGCGUAAAAAAUAAAUCUUAGAUUUUUCAUACACGUUCAACGACUUAGUCUCGGAGGUCUUUAAGAUCAAUGACAUAGUCUAAACAAUAGCGAAGGCUAUUGACAUGAGCUAGCAAACUCAUAGUAAUUAAAUUGAACAGGCUGAUACCGCACGAGAGUUCAUAUUGUCUGCGGUGUUUGGCACCUCGAUUAGAGUUAUAGUCGAGAAAGUAACGAAGUUAAUUGCAUGAAAUUCUAAAUUACAGAUAACAUACAGCCUUAUAAUGAGGUCUAACGACUAAAGUAUGAUACUUUAUAGUACUUCGGGAUAAAUUUUAGAAUUUAUCUAUGAUAUAGUCUAAACUAAUUCGAAAGGGUUAGAUGAUGUAACAGUCAUAAUAAUAAAGUUGGUCGACUCAUCCUAUCCUCCAGGUGCAUAAGCUUGGAAGGGUUCUGCUGUUCGCAGAUUAAAAGGGUACGCGAGUUGGGUUCAAUACGAUGUAAGUCAGUAUGGUUCCUAUCUUCUAGAUAUAGAAUUAUUAAUUUUGGACGGAUCUUUAGUACGAAAGGACUUAGAUCUGCGUUCCUCUAGUGUACCAAUUGUUGAGUCUUUACUUGGCACCGUUGGGUAGCCACGAACGUUAAGGAGAAGAGCUGAAGGCAUAUAAGCUACGAAACCUAC